This is a long non-coding RNA of Haemorhous mexicanus (house finch), 557 nucleotides long. RefSeq lists it as uncharacterized. The record is from RefSeq and is a predicted model, not a curated record. Lineage: Eukaryota; Metazoa; Chordata; Aves; Passeriformes; Fringillidae. The transcript has 2 exons.
AAAGCCCUCGUCUAGAAGAACGGUCGCGCCGUGGGAGGAGGUCUCAGCCGGGAAUUACCGCAGGAAUUCUUGGGAGUGCUGAGGACUUCCCUCCCAGUGUUCCCAGGAUCUCUCCCAGUGCUCCCAGCGGCAAAGCACCGGUGGCACUCCGUGGUCUGCUCUUGAAGAGGCAAGGCUUGAGCUGUCAGGAGAGAAACCCCGGCUGGAAGGUCCCCGGUGGGGCCGGCCCGGGAGCGCCCGGGGGCUGCGGAGAUUUCUCUGCAGUGCCGGCCUGGAGCUGCACGGGCGGGGGGAGCCCGCAGGGAGCUCGGCAGCUGCUGGGAUGGUUUUUUGUUUAGUUGGUUGGUUUUGGUUUUGGUUUGUUUUCUUCUCCUUUCUUUCUCUUUCUUUCUUCCUUUCUUCCUUUUUCUCCUUUUUGCUAAUCGGGGAGGCUGCUUCUGCCAGGAAAGCCUGUAGUUAGUUUCCCAAGGAGGAGUCUACGGUUCGAGUGAUAAGACUAGGAGGAAGUAGGAAGUCCACAAAGGGAAAAGGAGGAAAUACAAAAAUAUCAAACACAA